CCUGGCUUCAAGUCCUGCCUCUGCCACAAAAUGGCUGUGUGACCCUGGGUAUGUUUUAUGACCUCUCGGUGGCCCCAGGCAACUCUCUUAAGUUGCAGAGAAGGUGCUGACCUGCAUUGGCAGUCCUAUUUGGAAGAGCCUCAAGCUGAGGACCCAACUUCACUAUCCAGCCCUUUCCUUCCCCUCCUCACUGGCUCCACCCUCCACCUGCAGCUACAGGCAAUCUUUGGUUUAGGUAUUCACCUUGCCCAAGCAAUCUUCAAAGUAUAAAAACUGAGAGGGGAGUAGUAGUGGAGAACAAAAUAAGACUCAUUUAUUUUUUUCAAUGAAAAGGAAUAAAGAUUUUUUUGGAAAUGUUGGUUCA
Long non-coding RNA from Monodelphis domestica (gray short-tailed opossum), 364 nucleotides. NCBI's taxonomy places the organism in Eukaryota, Metazoa, Chordata, Mammalia, Didelphimorphia, Didelphidae. The record is from Ensembl.